CAGAUGCAGUUAAAUACUUAAAUGUCUUGGAGUUUUAGGAUGGAUUCAUGUGCUUGUUUUUACUUGUUGGAAGUUUAGGCCAGGCUAUUCUUUAUAAGUUAAAGAAGAAUGUGAUAGGAAAAGAAAUACCAAGAUUAGGGCCAGAUGACCUUCAAGCUAAUUCAACAGGGUGUGGAAUUGUGGUUAGAGUUGUUAUUUGUGGCCACAAUGUAAGGUAUCGAUUGGAUUCUGAAUUAUUUUGGCUAUCUUGUUUGUGUUUUUUAACAAUAAUAGAAUUUCCUAUCGGCCUGUGGUCAGUAUGAGUGGAAAUAAGAAGUGAAGGCAACAAUGAGGUUUUGAAGCCUCUGACUCACUAGCUGCUACCCUUUUAGGCUUCAGUGCACAGCAGAGCAUGUUCCUCAGAGACAAAUCACCUUUUUCUUCUUUUGUAGCUGUUUCAAUUUGACAAGAGUUGUUCUGAGACGGUGUUUAUGUGUGAAACGGCUGUAGUUCAGGAAGGGAGAGGAAAUUUCUUGUUAAUUUCUAAAGGCAGUGGACUCUGUGGUCAUUGACACAUUUCUCAUGAGUGAGUUACGUGGCUUUGUGGAUGCCAUGAAGGGUACUGGUUUCUCCUGGGGUAGACUGUUAGUUUUGAUAGCAUGCAGCUGUGGUCCUUGGGUAAAAAAAGUUUCAGUAAGUGGCAUAGAUAUUAUAGAUACCUUUGUUUCUCUGCUCUUCAUUGAGAGAGAGACUUCCAGCCAGUUCUGCUCAGUGCAGAACUGAGAGAUGGAGCCUAGAGCAACAUCCCUGGGCAACAUCCUAAAGAGGGUCUCCUCUCCAUCCAGUGAAGAUGUGUUUCUCUCCAUCGAGGGUAUGACUGGCAGUCCAGAUGCUAUGCUUUUAUAUUGACACUGCUUUACAACAUUGCUGAGUGGUGGAAGAGGAGUUGGAAAGACUUUUGACUUUUUACAGCUUUGUAAAUGAUGAUUUGCUCAGGAUGUCUCCAGAGUAGGGAAGAUGAUAUUGUGCUGGAUUUCAUUUGAUCCGUGUCGGUGGUUUCAUGACUGUGAGAACAGGGAAUGUGUUUUGUUUUCAAAUUAAAGGUUAUAUUUUUGUGUGGUGAGAUCCCAGACUCAAGGAGAAAUUUCUGCAGUGAUUUCUACAGUGAGCUAAAACCUACUGAGUGGUUGUGGGCCAAGAUCAAUGGUUGCAUUCCUGCUGCUGAGACUCUCCUGCCUUGGGACUCAUCUCUGGGCUGAGUCUACCAUGAGAGACAUUGAAGGUAUAAAACUGGUCCUCAAGCCUGGGAAACCUCCUUCCCUGGUUUCUACAAAGAGCUACAUGAGCAUGAGGAAGGAUCCCUGUGAGAUCCUCAAGUCUGUGUUAUGGAGCAGAGGCUGGGCUCCAGGUUUUGUGCAUUGCUUUCUGCUGGUCUGUAAAACACAAACCCUGCCACCACACUUGCACUUGGAGCUCUGUCACACAGAGAUUAGUGUCUGUUGGCAUUGAGAUUGAGACAAUGUUUGUACUUUUUGUCUUGUAAAAUGUUUAUGUGUACCUUGUUUGAGCUUUGAUUUUAUAUAUAUAUAUUUACUCCAUCCUUGCAUUGUUUUGGGAGAACAAGUUGUUAUUAGUAGAUGUACAUCUGAGACAUGAUUUAAAUGGGAUGAAAGUUAUUCAAAAUAGGAAUUGUCUUGAGGUUUUUUUUUCUUAUGUCUUCAAAUAUUAAUUCUUUGAUUAAUAUUUUAUGUGAUUGAGUUUGUAGUAUGAAUUUUACCAGCUCCAUACAGGAGGCAGCAAAUACAAAUUGUGUGAUCUAACAGCUUUAAAUUCCCCCUACACUGCUGUGUUAGACAUCAGUUUCACAGACUGUCCUCAUGGAUCCUGCCCACCUGUUAAGCCUCACUGCUUCAUCCAUGGCUGUAUCAUUUCUAACCAAAGCCUUGAGGCUUUACUGGGGCUCCUGUCAGGAACCAUAUGUAUACCUAAUAAGUCACAGUCACAGUCCUGGAGGGCUUGCCACCUGAAUGGAGAAAGACACAGCAGAAAAAGUCUCACCUUGGGAAAAGAAGCUUCUCCACUUGGUUCUGAUUUUAAUCACAGAAUCUCAGAGUAAGCUAAGUUGGGAGGAACCCACAAGGAUCAUCUAAUACAAUUCUUGGCCCUGCACAGGACCUUCUCCAAGAGCCAUGUCAUGUGGCCAAGAGUAGCUGCUAUUCUGAAAUAUUACAGAAAAGACCUACUUUCAGCAUGCGGGAUAAGGAGGUGCAGCUUCAUGUUUUGUUGUUGCAAGCACUGGAAACUGUUUCAAGAAACUGCAGUGAGGAUGUGAUGAACAACAAAAAGAUUGAAAGAAAAACAUCUGUGCAGUUUUCUAAUUGCAGAUGUAAGGGUUUUGCUAAUGUGUCUGUACAGAUUACUAGAUUGGAUGGCUGGAAUGGAACUGUUGUCUAUGUUCAUUUCCUCUUUGAUGUUAUCUGCAAAAUGGGAGAUACAGCUAACUUUUCUAGUUGUUAAUAAAUAAUAUUUGUGUUAUUUCUCUGGCAAUGUUCCAUAUUAGUUGUUAAUGUUCCAAUUUAGCUAUUUUUAAAAUAGUUUUCCUUAUGUUGGAAAUGAUGGAUACGUGAUGCUUUUGAAUAUUCAAACAGUGGUAUUUUCCUUCUAUAUAUAACCUUUCUUUGGUCAUUGGAUCCUUGUUCUGAAUAUAUUUAUUUAUUUUUGAGAUGUUUGUAAAGAACACCUCCAGAGAUUGUUAACAUUUGUCAGCUCUUGGAAUGACAGCUCCAGUCACUACAGACGACAAGUAAUUUUCCUCUUGAAGAAAAGGGAUGCUAAUCUCCACCUACAGUAACAUGUUUUGAGAAACAUAAUGCACUAAGAAAAUGUACCAAUUACUUGGCUGAAAAUUGCUUCCCUUCUGCAAAAUAGACAAUCAUAACAUUUUUGGACUUUUUUUUACUAGUUUCAUAACAUAACUCCCUCUUCUACAAAGUUGGAAACAUGAAGUUUUAGAGCAGACUAGUAUUUUAUCAGGUAUGGGAGCAGCAUUGUACUGUGGUGUGGCAUUUCAGAUUCUGAAUCAUGUCCAGGAUCUGUAGCUGGAAAACAAAUAGGAUUUUAUUUAUUAGGAAAAUUAAGUACAUAUAUGCUCCCAUGUGUUUUACUUACACAGCCAGAGGGUGAUUCUUACACACACAUUGUCCAGGAUGGAAAGUUAUUUUUUAGGUGUGGUUUCUUAACUGGCUUUCAGAAGCACAUUACUGAUUCUCACCUGCAAAUAAUGUGGAAAUCAUAUGUAUGUGCAUGAAUGAGUGUAUAUCUCAAUAUAAUUAUUGACAUAUACUAAGACAAAAGACUGAGGAAAAUGGCAAUUAUCUUAAUAAAGUUGCUUAAUUGCAUAUCAUGAAAAUUUUAAUUUACUGCAACCUAUUGAAACUAUCACUGACCUAAUAAAGAUUAUACCCUUUUACUUCUAUUGUUUUCUGUUUAAAUUAGCAGGAGUAUAUUAAAGCAAACUGCUUAAUUGUUGAGAAAUUAGAUUAUUUGGGAUGUAGAAGGAAAACAAAAAGAUGGUAAUAUAAAAAUUGACUCUAUUUAAUAAGCAGUUAGACAAAACUAUGUUUUGUGCCACAGGCUUAUGACAUUAGCAAAUGAGUCAUAUCAAGUCACUUUACU
Molecule: long non-coding RNA, 3654 nt
Organism: Passer domesticus (house sparrow)
Lineage: Eukaryota; Metazoa; Chordata; Aves; Passeriformes; Passeridae
Exons: 6
Source: RefSeq, a predicted model, not a curated record